RNAcentral lists this ribosomal RNA (315 nucleotides) under Triticum aestivum (bread wheat). RNAcentral's name for it is "partial small subunit ribosomal RNA". Lineage: Eukaryota; Viridiplantae; Streptophyta; Magnoliopsida; Poales; Poaceae. The record is from RNAcentral.
AUGGCGGCCGCCAACGCAUUUACCAGCGCUUCCAUGCCCUGCGCUGCGAGCCUGAGCGGCUCUGCCAAUGUCAUCGCCGUGUGCCCACGCUCCCUGGCUGCCGCGAGGACGUCGCCCUCGUCGUGCUUGCGUCCUGCGCGGUGCGCCGCCGUCCGGACAGCAGCGCCCGUGGCGGCAACGUCGGAGGGUGACGAGAGGCGGUUCGAGCAGCUGGCGGUGCCGCCGGAGCUGGUGGAUGAGCUGGUGGAGGAGGCGCUCGUCUGGUGCUCGCAGCACGGCCUCGUCGUCGGCGACAAGAACCACCCGGUGACGUGA